RNAcentral lists this ribosomal RNA (253 nucleotides) under Faecalibacterium prausnitzii. Its description in RNAcentral is "partial 16S ribosomal RNA". It matches the Rfam family "Bacterial small subunit ribosomal RNA", at positions 524 to 776 of the family's 1533-position model. Lineage: Bacteria; Bacillati; Bacillota; Clostridia; Eubacteriales; Oscillospiraceae. The record is from RNAcentral.
AACGUAGGUCACAAGCGUUGUCCGGAAUUACUGGGUGUAAAGGGAGCGCAGGUGGGCGAUCAAGUUGGGAGUGAAAUCCAUGGGCUCAACCCAUGAACUGCUUUCAAAACUGGUCGUCUUGAGUAGUGCAGAGGUAGGCGGAAUUCCCGGUGUAGCGGUGGAAUGCGUAGAUAUCGGGAGGAACACCAGUGGCGAAGGCGGCCUACUGGGCACCAACUGACGCUGAGGCUCGAAAGUGUGGGUAGCAAACAGG